This is a long non-coding RNA of Anastrepha ludens (Mexican fruit fly), 683 nucleotides long. RefSeq lists it as uncharacterized. Lineage: Eukaryota; Metazoa; Arthropoda; Insecta; Diptera; Tephritidae. The record is from RefSeq and is a predicted model, not a curated record. The transcript is spliced from 2 exons.
UCGACAUAUGAUUAUCUUUUCCACCUCCCAUAGGGCAUCGCCUCCUCAAAGCCUUAUCACCCAUUGCAACCGUCUCAAAAACAACUACCGAGCACUUCCAAAUCAGUUUAUUGUGAAAAUUUAAAGCGAUCGGUACUGGCUCAAGACUAGCGGACAGUCAGACAAAGAACGUGUACUUUUUUAACUAUUUAUUACUUGAAUUUGUUUUCGCAGUCCACUUGAGAUAGUGACAUAAUAAACAAUUACAAUAUACACAUAUUUGCAUAAAUUUGUUUGCGGAAGCUGUUCUUUAGUCGGGAAAUGCUGUCACAAAUUACAGUAAAAAUGUUCGUUAUGGCAGUGAUUUUGAUGUCGAUGCUGUGUCAUGGCUUACCGUUGCUUGGUUAUCAAACUAAUUUCGAGGACAAUCCUCGCAGUCCAGGACGUCCAAAGCCGGUCUUUGUGCAUUGCGAUGAAAUCGGAAAUCAUUUAAAUUGUAUGCUUUAUUGCAAGAGCAGGGGGCAUACGAGUGGAAAUUGUGACGGUGAUUUUAUUUGUAACUGCUUUUAGCUCUCAAUUAACUAUGUAACGGUAUAUAGACAUCUUGUAAAUUGUGUUCUUUACAUUAUAUUUAUUCAUUUAUAUGUAUACGUUCUGAUCAAUUAAUUGUAUAAACUGUGCGAAUAAAGGUUAAAGGCCAUUUA